RNAcentral lists this ribosomal RNA (555 nucleotides) under Triticum aestivum (bread wheat). RNAcentral's name for it is "partial small subunit ribosomal RNA". The record is from RNAcentral. Lineage: Eukaryota; Viridiplantae; Streptophyta; Magnoliopsida; Poales; Poaceae.
AUGGCCGAAUGCUUCAAUAGGGUGCUCAAAGGUGCACGUGGAUUACCCGUGACGGCAAUAGUUCAAUACACAUUUGACAAGAUGAAUGCGUACUUUGUAAAGUACUCGAUGGAAACCGAUGCACAGAUAGCGGAUGAGAACCCACGGAAGUACAAGUACAAGUUCCCACCCAAAGUUUAUGAAUGGUUGGUAUUUCAAUCACGGAAGGCGGACUCAGAAGAAGCUAUAUUAUAUGACAACGAAGAGUGAAAGUACGAAGUGAAAGAGCCAGGAGGAACCACAAACGAUGGCCGGCAACAUGGAGGUCGAGCUUUCAAGGUGUCGUUAACACAAUGUGAUUGCACUUGCGGGAGGCCAUUGUUGCUUCAUCUCCCAUGCUCACAUUUGUAUGCCACCGGUCGCGUUAGGAAUGUGGACAUCAAUCACCCAUGCACCGUGAGGGAGUCGGAGUUCUCAAUCAUGACAGCCAAGAAAACAUGGGCUCCCCGCUUUCACCCAUACUUUGACCAAUCACAAUGGCCGGAGUAUCAUGGAGUUCAACUAUGGCCGGAUCCG